RNAcentral lists this ribosomal RNA (467 nucleotides) under uncultured bacterium. Its description in RNAcentral is "partial 16S ribosomal RNA". It matches the Rfam family "Bacterial small subunit ribosomal RNA", at positions 29 to 507 of the family's 1533-position model. The record is from RNAcentral.
AUGAACGCUGGCGGCGUGCUUAACACAUGCAAGUCGAACGGUGAAGGCGGAGCUUGCUCUGCUGGAUCAGUGGCGAACGGGUGAGUAACACGUGAGCAAUCUGCCCCUGACUCUGGGAUAAGCGCUGGAAACGGCGUCUAAUACUGGAUACGAGCUGCGAAGGCAUCUUCAGCAGCUGGAAAGAAUUUCGGUCAGGGAUGAGCUCGCGGCCUAUCAGCUUGUUGGUGAGGUAAUGGCUCACCAAGGCGUCGACGGGUAGCCGGCCUGAGAGGGUGACCGGCCACACUGGGACUGAGACACGGCCCAGACUCCUACGGGAGGCAGCAGUGGGGAAUAUUGCACAAUGGGCGAAAGCCUGGUGCAGCAACGCCGCGUGAGGGACGACGGCCUUCGGGUUGUAAACCUCUUUUAGCAGGGAAGAAGCGAAAGUGACGGUACCUGCAGAAAAAGCGCCGGCUAACUACGUG